GGACUACCCGGGUAUCUAAUCCUGUUUGCUCCCCACGCUUUCGCGCCUCAGCGUCAGUAUCUGUCCAGACAGUCGCCUUCGCCACUGAUGUUCCUUCCGAUCUCUACGCAUUUCACCGCUACACCGGAAAUUCCACUGUCCUCUACAGUACUCCAGCUUACCAGUUUAAGAUGCAGUUCCCAGGUUAAGCCCGGGGAUUUCACAUCUCACUUGAUAAACCGCCUACGCGCCCUUUACGCCCAGUAAUUCCGAUUAACGCUCGCACCCUCUGUAUUACCGCGGCUGCUGGCAC
Molecule: ribosomal RNA, 292 nt
Filed under: uncultured bacterium
Lineage: Bacteria
Also listed under: 1 other name
Description: partial 16S ribosomal RNA
Source: RNAcentral